Molecule: ribosomal RNA, 253 nt
Filed under: uncultured bacterium
Lineage: Bacteria
Description: partial 16S ribosomal RNA
Rfam family: Bacterial small subunit ribosomal RNA
Source: RNAcentral
CACGUAGGCACCAAGCGUUGUCCGGAUUUAUUGGGCGUAAAGCGCACGUAGGCGGAACAGAAAGUCAGAGGUGAAAUCCCCGGGCUUAACCUGGGAACUGCGUUUGUGACUGCGAGACUCGAGUGUGGCAGAGGGGGGUGGAAUUCCACGUGUAGCAGUGAAAUGCGUAGAGAUGUGGAGGAACACCAGUGGCGAAGGCGACUCUCUGGUCUGUAACUGACGCUGAGGCUCGAAAGCGUGGGUAGCGAACAGG